GUCUGGUGGCAAGUGACGAACGGGUGAGUAAUGUAUCGGAACGUGCCCCGUAGCGGGGGAUAACUACGCGAAAGCGUAGCUAAUACCGCAUACGCCCUACGGGGGAAAGCAGGGGAUCGCAAGACCUUGCACUAUUGGAGCGGCCGAUAUCGGAUUAGCUAGUUGGUGGGGUAACGGCUCACCGAGGCGACGAUCCGUAGCUGGUUUGAGAGGACNACCAACCACACUGGGACUGAGACACGGCCCAGACUCCUACGGGAGGCAGCAGUGGGGAAUUUUGGACAAUGGGGGAAACCCUGAUCCAGCCAUCCCGCGUGUGCGAUGAAGGCCUUCGGGUUGUAAAGCACUUUUGGCAGGAAAGAAACGUCGUGGGUUAAUACCCCGCGAAACUGACGGUACCUGCAGAAUAAGCACCGGCUAACUACGUGCCAGCAGCCGCGGUAAUACGUAGGGUGCAAGCGUUAAUCGGAAUUACUGGGCGUAAAGCGUGCGCAGGCGGUUCGGAAAGAAAGAUGUGAAAUCCCAGAGCUUAACUUUGGAACUGCAUUUUUAACUACCGGGCUAGAGUGUGUCAGAGGGAGGUGGAAUUCCGCGUGUAG
Molecule: ribosomal RNA, 599 nt
Filed under: uncultured Burkholderia sp.
Lineage: Bacteria; Pseudomonadati; Pseudomonadota; Betaproteobacteria; Burkholderiales; Burkholderiaceae
Description: bacterial SSU rRNA
Rfam family: Bacterial small subunit ribosomal RNA
Source: RNAcentral